AAAGCCAGCCGCUGGUUAGCUUAGCAUGAAGGCUGGAGACAAGAGGGCUUAAAAGGGAUGUUUAAAAAUCCGGAUUCAACAGUUUACAAAUUUCCGACUUGAUGAAACAAUGGACAAAAAUCGUUCUUUAUUUAUUCUUAAAGUGUUUGCUAUCAAGAUCAAGAUGGGGUCAUAGAAAAAAACAAGUAGAGCAAAGUGUUUUAUGCACCAUGUCAAGUGGAUGAGCUCUAUCAAUACAAAUACACCGUCCACACACACACAUUUACUCUAAAGGCUCAUUUGCAUAUUGUACCGUCACUGUAACCAUAGAGACGUUACAUCAUGAUGGAACAUUUCUCCAUGUUCCAUGUUCCAUGUUCCAUGUUCUAUGCUCCGUUCACCACAGCAUAAGAACACAGUUUGUUGCACAUCCAGUCAGUCAGUCAGUUUCAAACCUCGCAUCUACACACUGAAGUUUUCCGGACCUACACUUGCAGAAAGCAACCAUGUAAUGCCUCAGGAGUCUGUAGAGGGGACGAAGACGCAUUCUGCUGCACUUAACAGAGCUCAAGACCAACGGGACGCCAUCAGGACGGCAUCAGGACGCCACGUCAUCGGGACGGCAUCAGGACACCACGUCAUCGGGACGCCAUCAGGACGCCGCAUCAACCCCUCAGGAGCAAAUCCAGAUCUACUCAUGAAACCCACACACACCCACACACACGUACACACACACACACACACACAGAGAUGUGCACACAGACACACUAACAUUUAGAUGUACACACAGACACACUAUCAUUUGGAUGUACACACAGACACACUAAGAAUUAGAUGUACACACAGACACACU
Gasterosteus aculeatus aculeatus (three-spined stickleback) is the source of this 832-nucleotide long non-coding RNA. The record is from Ensembl. NCBI's taxonomy places the organism in Eukaryota, Metazoa, Chordata, Actinopteri, Perciformes, Gasterosteidae.